UGCCAGCAGCCGCGGUAAUACAUAGGGGGCAAGCGUUAUCCGGAAUUAUUGGGCGUAAAGGGCGCGCAGGCGGUCUUGUCCGUCAGAUGUGAAAGCCCGGGGCUCAACCCCGGAAGUGCAUUGGAAACUGGCGAACUUGAGUACGGGAGAGGAAAGUGGGAUUCCGAGUGUAGAGGUGAAAUCCGUAGAUAUUCGGAGGAACACCAGUGGCGAAGGCGGCUUUCUGGACCGAUACUGACGCUGAGACGCGAAAGCGUGGGGAGCAAACAGGAUUAGAUA
Molecule: ribosomal RNA, 279 nt
Filed under: uncultured bacterium
Lineage: Bacteria
Description: partial 16S ribosomal RNA
Rfam family: Bacterial small subunit ribosomal RNA
Source: RNAcentral